UCCGUCUUACUCCAUUUCCAUAGGGCGGAGGGAGCCGUACAUAAAGGAGGAAAUCCGCCGGGCCGGCGGUGCGGCAGUGUGGAGACCUGUCGUAACGUGCCGGGAGGUUCGCUCUCCCCGCACAAGGGAGUUCCCGCGGAGGCGGGGCUUCUACGGCCCAUGCAUAUGGCA
RNAcentral lists this non-coding RNA (171 nucleotides) under chicken gut metagenome. Its description in RNAcentral is "malK-I RNA". It matches the Rfam family "malK-I RNA". The record is from RNAcentral.